AGCUUUGCAUAGUGGUAGUACUGUAGCCAUUGAAGUUUUUCAGAGGUGUGAUUAUUGCUAAUUGAAAACAGGGAAACGAAGCUCCUGUCCUGUUUAAUCUGUAUAAAUGUAAUUUGUACUUGAGCCCCUUUACUGGG
Molecule: small nuclear RNA, 137 nt
Filed under: Thryonomys swinderianus (greater cane rat)
Lineage: Eukaryota; Metazoa; Chordata; Mammalia; Rodentia; Thryonomyidae
Description: U4 spliceosomal RNA
Rfam family: U4 spliceosomal RNA
About the family: U4 small nuclear RNA (U4 snRNA) is a component of the major U2-dependent spliceosome. The structure of U4 snRNA from yeast and human has been reported.
Source: Rfam by way of RNAcentral